GCUGAGCAAGUAGCGACUGCUUGUCACCCGAGCGGGGGCAACAAGGUGGUGUGGAUGCCAAUUGUGGCGCUUGGACCUGGGCUUGGUGUUGCAUUGUGUGUGGCCCGCCCGUUCCAAGUUGGUAGUGGGUUGUGGGCACUUUGGCGAAAGCCUUGGUGUCUCAGCACCUAGAGCGGUGGGCAUUGCGUGAGGCUGGUUUAACAGAGCAGCGAAUACCACCCGCUUUCAACGGUGGAAGGAUAACGAGCCGCUGCACUCCAGACCCACUUAGGCCCAUGUGCCCUCUCUGGCAGACCACCAUUUUU
Molecule: signal recognition particle RNA, 305 nt
Filed under: Sorghum bicolor (sorghum)
Lineage: Eukaryota; Viridiplantae; Streptophyta; Magnoliopsida; Poales; Poaceae
Description: SRP RNA Plant_SRP
Rfam family: Plant signal recognition particle RNA
Source: Rfam by way of RNAcentral